RNAcentral lists this small RNA (210 nucleotides) under Vigna angularis var. angularis. RNAcentral's name for it is "Non-protein coding transcript". Lineage: Eukaryota; Viridiplantae; Streptophyta; Magnoliopsida; Fabales; Fabaceae. The record is from RNAcentral.
AGGAGUUUUUGGGCUCCCAAUUACACCUAUCUUUCUUUAAGUCUUUCAGUACCGAAAGCAAUCCAAAAAUAUCCUCAGAUGCUACAGGAGACAUAGGUAAGAAACAAUUAGCGCUGUCAGAGGAUUCAGCUGUUACAGGAGAGUCUAAAUUUGCUGCACUUGGAGCUGAUUCUCUUGACACGGUACUUUAAUAUCAGUCUAUUGCAUUAU